AUUGAACGCUGGCGGCAGGCCUAACACAUGCAAGUCGAGCGAGCGGCGGACGGGUGAGUAAUGUCUGGGAAACUGCCUGAUGGAGGGGGAUAACUACUGGAAACGGUAGAUAAUACCGCACACCCUCAGAUGUGCCCAGAGGGGAUUAGCUAGUAGGUGGGGUAACGGCUCACCUAGGCGACGAUCCCUAGCUGGUCUGAGAGGAUGACCAGCCACACUGGGACUGAGACACGGUCCAGACUCCUACGGGAGGCAGCAGUGGGGAAUAUUGCACAAUGGGGGCAACCCUGAUGCAGCCAUGCCGCGUGUGUGAAGAAGGCCUUCGGGUUGUAAAGCACUUUCGGCGGGGAGGCGUUACCCGCAGAAGAAGCACCGGCUAACUCCGUGCCAGCAGCCGCGGUAAUUC
RNAcentral lists this ribosomal RNA (406 nucleotides) under uncultured bacterium. RNAcentral's name for it is "partial 16S ribosomal RNA". It matches the Rfam family "Bacterial small subunit ribosomal RNA", at positions 29 to 526 of the family's 1533-position model. The record is from RNAcentral.